Molecule: ribosomal RNA, 253 nt
Filed under: uncultured bacterium
Lineage: Bacteria
Description: partial 16S ribosomal RNA
Rfam family: Bacterial small subunit ribosomal RNA
Source: RNAcentral
UACGUAGGGCGCAAGCGUUGUCCGGAAUUAUUGGGCGUAAAGAGCUCGUAGGCGGCUUGUCGCGUCGGUUGUGAAAGCCCGGGGCUUAACCCCGGGUCUGCAGUCGAUACGGGCAGGCUAGAGUGUGGUAGGGGAGAUCGGAAUUCCUGGUGUAGCGGUGAAAUUCGUAGAUAUCGGGAGGAACACCGGUGGCGAAGGCGGCGACCUGGGUAGAUACUGACGCUGAGGCGCGAAAGCGUGGGGAGCAAACAGG